RNAcentral lists this ribosomal RNA (200 nucleotides) under uncultured bacterium. RNAcentral's name for it is "partial 16S ribosomal RNA". It matches the Rfam family "Bacterial small subunit ribosomal RNA", at positions 29 to 227 of the family's 1533-position model. The record is from RNAcentral.
AGUGAACGCUGGCGGUAGGCCUAACACAUGCAAGUCGAACGGCAGCACAGGAGAGCUUGCUCUCUGGGUGGCGAGUGGCGGACGGGUGAGGAAUACAUCGGAAUCUACCUUUUCGUGGGGGAUAACGUAGGGAAACUUACGCUAAUACCGCAUAAGACCUUCGGUGAAAGCGGGGACCUUCGGGCCUGCGCGGAUAGAUG